Molecule: ribosomal RNA, 497 nt
Filed under: uncultured bacterium
Lineage: Bacteria
Description: partial 16S ribosomal RNA
Rfam family: Bacterial small subunit ribosomal RNA
Source: RNAcentral
GAUGAACGCUGGCGGCGUGCCUAAUACAUGCAAGUCGAGCGAACAGACGAGGAGCUUGCUCCUCUGACGUUAGCGGCGGACGGGUGAGUAACACGUGGAUAACCUACCUAUAAUACUGGGAUAACUUCGGGAAACCGGAUCUAAUACCGGAUAAUAUCUUGAACCGCAUGGUUCAAUAGUGAAAGACGGUUUUGCUGUCACUUAUAGAUGGAUCCGCGCCGCAUUAGCUAGUUGGUAAGGUAACGGCUUACCAAGGCUACGAUGCGUAGCCGACCUGAGAGGGUGAUAGGCCACACUGGAGCUGAGACACGGUCCAGACUCCUACGGGAGGCAGCAGUAGGGAAUCUUCCGCAAUGGGCGAAAGCAUGACGGAGCAACGCCGCGUGAGUGAUGAAGGUCUUCGGAUCGUAAAAAUCUGUUAUUAGGGAAGAACAAAUGUGUAAGUAACUAUGCACGUCUUGACGGUACCUAAUCAGAAAGCCACGGCUAACUACGUG